GCGGAAUUUCUUUAUUACAAAAGUUACAAUAUACAACAAAUUUACAUUAUAUUUAUCGGAGUGUUUACAAAAGUGAUUCAAAGGAAUACACUUUGAAUUGUUAUAAAUUAUUUAUAAGUUUGAAAUAUAUGCUAGCUUAGGUGACCAUCCGCAAUAAGAAGUAUAGAAGAGUUACUUAGACUUAUAAGAAGGUCGUGCCCGCCAUCGCUUAACACCAAUCACAAUCAAAGUGACUCGUAACCUGCAACAACAAUGGGAAUAAAACCCUAAGUACACAAGUACUCAGCAAGACUUACCUGACUAAAGAAAAGACUCUCAAGGGUAUGCUGGUUUUAAAAAGAAAAGACUCUCAAGGGUAUGCUGGUUUUAAAAGGAUUCAAGGUAAGGCUUAUCAAGGAUCAAGGACUCUAUUUGUAGAAAAGCUUACUAUGAGUGGAUCCUUAAAAAAUUAUUUUUACUUGUCAGGUUAAGUAAAGUUACCUGCAUCUAGAGUUCUUUCUACCCUAGUUCAAGCACUUGGCCUAUACUAGCCGUCUUUUAUCAUCCCAUCAGUUCAGUGCAUUGCUACAUGUAAGUCG
This 578-nucleotide long non-coding RNA is filed under the name Zea mays. RNAcentral's name for it is "drought responsive lncRNA". The record is from RNAcentral. Lineage: Eukaryota; Viridiplantae; Streptophyta; Magnoliopsida; Poales; Poaceae.